UACGUAGGGUGCGAGCGUUGUCCGGAAUUAUUGGGCGUAAAGGGCUCGUAGGCGGUUUGUCGCGUCGGGAGUGAAAACACACAGCUUAACUGUGUGCUUGCUUCCGAUACGGGCAGACUAGAGGUAUGCAGGGGAGACUGGAAUUCCUGGUGUAGCGGUGGAAUGCGCAGAUAUCAGGAGGAACACCGGUGGCGAAGGCGGGUCUCUGGGCAGUAACUGACGCUGAGGAGCGAAAGCGUGGGGAGCGAACAGG
Molecule: ribosomal RNA, 253 nt
Filed under: uncultured bacterium
Lineage: Bacteria
Description: partial 16S ribosomal RNA
Rfam family: Bacterial small subunit ribosomal RNA
Source: RNAcentral